AUUGAACGCUGGCGGCAUGCUUUACACAUGCAAGUCGAACGGUAACAGGUUAAGCUGACGAGUGGCGAACGGGUGAGUAAUGCAUCGGAACGUGCCCGAUCGUGGGGGAUAACGCAGCGAAAGCUGCGCUAAUACCGCAUACGAUCUGAGGAUGAAAGCGGGGGACCGUAAGGCCUCGCGCCAUCGGAGCGGCCCAUGUCAGAUUAGGUAGUUGGUGGGGUAAAGGCCCACCAAGCCGACGAUCUGUAGCUGGUCUGAGAGGACGACCAGCCACACUGGGACUGAGACACGGCCCAGACUCCUACGGGAGGCAGCAGUGGGGAAUUUUGGACAAUGGGCGAAAGCCUGAUCCAGCAAUGCCGCGUGCAGGAAGAAGGCCUUCGGGUUGUAAACUGCUUUUGUACGGAGCGAAAAGGUCCUUUCUAAUACAAGGGGCUCAUGACGGUACCGUAAGAAUAAGCACCGGCUAACUACGUGCCAGCCGCCGCCGUAA
This 493-nucleotide ribosomal RNA is filed under the name uncultured bacterium. RNAcentral describes it as "partial 16S ribosomal RNA". It matches the Rfam family "Bacterial small subunit ribosomal RNA", at positions 30 to 523 of the family's 1533-position model. The record is from RNAcentral.